Antechinus flavipes (yellow-footed antechinus) is the source of this 345-nucleotide long non-coding RNA. RefSeq lists it as uncharacterized. The record is from RefSeq and is a predicted model, not a curated record. The transcript is spliced from 3 exons. NCBI's taxonomy places the organism in Eukaryota, Metazoa, Chordata, Mammalia, Dasyuromorphia, Dasyuridae.
CUUAGGUGGUUUUCUUGAUGAUGGAUACAAAAAAUCAGUAGCAGUUGUAAGGAGGAUUGCCAGCACAGCCACCAUAUCAGAGGGAAUGAAAAGAGAGAAAAAAGAAGAAACACAAAGUGAACCUGGGGCUUUCAUAUCACAUUCUACACAUUUUUCACUUCACAGAUGAUGAUCAGAAGACAAUAAUAAGGAACCUUCUUGGAUUGCAUAGAUUGAAGAUUUGGAACUAGAAAGCAACUGAGAGACUGGCUAGUCCAAUAUUCUAUAGAACAGCUCUGUUGGCUAAUGCCUACAAUUAAACAGUGCAGCAAGCUGCCUGAGAGUUUCAAGAUGUGAAAAUGAGGU